GCGAUCAUACCAGCACUAAUGUGCAGGAUCCCAUCAGAACUCCGAAGUUAAGCGUGCUUGGGCGAGAGUAGUACUAGGAUGGGUGACCCCCUGGGAAGUCCUCGUGUUGCACCCC
Molecule: ribosomal RNA, 115 nt
Filed under: Salvia splendens (bonfire salvia)
Lineage: Eukaryota; Viridiplantae; Streptophyta; Magnoliopsida; Lamiales; Lamiaceae
Source: RNAcentral